Molecule: ribosomal RNA, 755 nt
Filed under: uncultured cyanobacterium
Lineage: Bacteria; Bacillati; Cyanobacteriota
Description: bacterial SSU rRNA
Rfam family: Bacterial small subunit ribosomal RNA
Source: RNAcentral
AGAGUUUGAUCAUGGCUCAGGACGAACGCUGACGGUGUGCUUUAGGCAUGCAAGUCGAACGAGAAAGCCCUUCGGGGUGAGUAAAGUGGCGGACGGGUGAGUAACGCGUGAGAAUCUGCCAAAAGGACUGGGACAACCACUGGAAACGGUGGCUAAUACCAGAUGUGCCGCAACGUAAAAGAGGAAACUCGCCUUUUGAGGAGCUCGCGUCUGAUUAGCUAGUUGGUGAGGUAAGAGCUCACCAAGGCAGCGAUCAGUAGCUGGUCUGAGAGGAUGACCAGCCACACUGGGACUGAGACACGGCCCAGACUCCUACGGGAGGCAGCAGUGGGGAAUUUUCCGCAAUGGGCGAAAGCCUGACGGAGCAAUACCGCGUGAGGGAAGAAGGCUCUUGGGUCGUAAACCUCUUUUAUCAGGGAAGAAAAAAAUGACGGUACCUGAAGAAUCAGCCUCGGCUAACUCCGUGCCAGCAGCCGCGGUAAUACGGAGGAGGCAAGCGUUAUCCGGAAUUAUUGGGCGUAAAGCGUCCGCAGGUGGCUUAUCAAGUCUGCUGUCAAAGAGUGGGGCUUAACCCCAUUAAGGCAGUGGAAACUGAGAAGCUAGAGUGCCGUAGGGGUAGAGGGAAUUCCCGGUGUAGCGGUGAAAUGCGUAGAGAUCGGGAAGAACAUCGGUGGCGAAAGCGCUCUACUGGACGGCAACUGACACUCAGGGACGAAAGCUAGGGGAGCGAAUGGGAUUAGAUACCCCCGUAGUCC